This is a non-coding RNA of Paramuricea clavata, 401 nucleotides long. Lineage: Eukaryota; Metazoa; Cnidaria; Anthozoa; Malacalcyonacea; Plexauridae. The record is from the annotation of a GenBank genome assembly.
GUUCACGAAGGGUAUAAUAUGUCACUUCCGCGCGACUUACUGAACAGUCCUCAGCUUUGCUUUUAACAUUUGAUGCGUAUCCGUUGUCCGCUGCUAACAACCUAUAACUGACUUGAAUAUUCUGCAUGCAGCAAAAAUCCCUGCAGUUUUAUCAAAUGGCAGAUUCGGUGUUGACGAAUGUGAUCUAAUUUUUAAUGACUUACCCUUCGAAGCAAGAACACUAUCACAUCUCAGCAUUAACACAAUGAUGACAGCAACUAAAACGUCGAUUAUCGACAUUGUUUAUACUUCAUUUAGACUUGAUAUUCAGAAGUUCUGGUAAUUCCGUUUGGCUAUGUGUUAGGACAUGAUAGCUAUAUGAUAUGACUGCACGAUAUAAUCAACAAUAAUCAAUACUGUUG